AUGAAUUAACUAUUUUUACACAUAAAGGAAAUCGUCAAAACAACCCUGGCCCAAAUCCGUAUGGAAAAAGGACAUCACCCGAUCUGGACCAAUGUGACAAAAGGCCUGAAGCACCAAACUGCUUGAUGGCAGUGAGGGAUCUCGUUUGAAAAGGUCUGGAGUUCGAUUCUCCAAUGACGCAAACAUUGGGCCCAAAAUCAGCCCUGGUUGAACAAGACUAGCUGGAUCUCAAGAGAGAGGUCGAGGGAUCGAGUCCAAACAAUGAUAUCGUGACUCCAACUGCAGCAACUCGCACAACAGCAACGAUGCACCAUUAUGACAAUGCAUACCUUCAUUUUAAUUGAUUUACAUGAACUCCAAAUACCUAAUUCAAUUUAUCAUACUGUUUAUCUAUCAUGGAUUACUGAUUUAAAUGAAACAAUUCAAUGUGAAUAAGCUUUUGUCUUCCUGACCUUUAACUAAUUUCAAAGCCAAUUUACUAACAACAUUACACUAGCAUGAUCAAUGACAAUAUUACUAGCAAUCUACAGUUCAUGAAUUGAAAGGCCACCAGGAAGUCAUUACCCUUUUAACGCGAUACUUUCCAGCUCCAGUACUACUGAUGACUACUAAAUUCAUAUGAACUUCCGAAUUGAUUCAACAAACCAAUUGACAAACCCCCUGAACUGACUACACUUUAAGCCACACACAGGGUCUAGUAUAAUAGUUCAAUAUUACACAACAUUUAAACUAACCAUUUUCAACAAUUUCAAUUAUACAUGCCAUACAAAUUUCAAAUUUUGAUUAAUGAAUAUUUUCAAUUAAAUAAAAAAAAACCAAUAGAUACUCGAACAAUCAAUCAAACAGUCCAAGUUUAAUUACAAUAUGCUAGUUAUCAGAUAUGCACAUCAUUACACUUCAGGGUAUAAUCAAUUCAAAAUCUCCAACUGGAUCAUCAAAUGAACAUUUAUUCCAUGAUUUGAGCUUGAGCUCAUAACAGAAAUACAAAAUGUGUACCUGGAAUCAGAAAUUGACAAGAAAUAUGAGUGAAUCAGCAAGUAAUGGCUGAUUUCCAACAAUCAAACAACAGCAGCAAACAACGGGAAGCAACAGCAAGUUUAGCCCAGAGACGAAUUCAACAGUCGAAGGAUAAGUUGAAAACCAAGCAAACUCCACAGAUCAACCCAAAAUAGCACCAAAUAGUUCACAACAAACUGACUGAAUCCCCAAAAAUUGCUCGAAAUCAAACAGAAACUCCCCUGAACCUUCAAUUACCAGAUUAACCAACAGAUUACCUAACAAAUUCCAUUAACCCAAAUAAUCAAUAAGCUAAAGGCUACUGCCAUAAGGUGAACCAAAAUCAAACCAGCCGAUUAAUUAAUCCCAAAACACCAUUAACUAUUCUAAUCAACAAGGAAAAGAUACGAGCAAAACAAAAACUAAACUUACGAUAAAAUCAACAAAGAACCAAACAGAAAUCAAAAUUAAGAAAUUGAGCCCUAGAAUUCACACAUGCAGAAAAAAUAGAGAAGGAGAAAGAAAAAGAAAAAGAAAAAGAAAAGAAUGCAAACAAGAAACUCACUAAUAACAAAGAACUUCGGCCAGUCAACCAUUUUCUAAUUUGACCAUUUCCGGCGGUCAUUGAAUGCUAAAACUGUUGAAUUCCUCAUCAGGGCACCCCAACGGACAUCUAGUAUCAGUUUGGGACGAAUUAGGACUACUAAGAUUUUGGUCGGAAAACUUGAAAUAGAUAUUCGAGUCGUUCUGGUCAUAUUCGAGCCAAGCGGCUAUGGGGGUUGGGUAGAGGAGGUCAAGGCGAUCCCAUGGUGUUAAUUUGGGACCAAUGGCGUAACCGGAGACUUGGCAGGAAAAUCUUCUGAUGAAGAUUCGAAAAGAUAUGGGAGCAUUCGAGGGAAACCGAUUUGGUAUUUGGAAUGAGGAAGCGAAAGAUAUUCUGGGUUGUGAUUUUGGGAUGGAUUGGUCAUGGCGGCGUUCCCCUCCAGCGGUGGUUCCGGUGAUGUCACACGUUGAGAAUCUGUAAGAGGAAGAAUGGAACAGU
Molecule: long non-coding RNA, 2038 nt
Filed under: Nicotiana benthamiana
Lineage: Eukaryota; Viridiplantae; Streptophyta; Magnoliopsida; Solanales; Solanaceae
Description: long non-coding RNA (NBEN_LNC022028)
Source: RNAcentral